Molecule: RNA transcript, 764 nt
Organism: Gordionus sp. m RMFG-2023
Lineage: Eukaryota; Metazoa; Nematomorpha; Gordioida; Chordodea; Parachordodidae
Exons: 4
Source: RefSeq, a predicted model, not a curated record
AAUGAUAUUAGAGUUUCAAAAAGUUUUCAGUUAGAGAUAUCUAAUAUAUAUAAUGAGAUAUGUCCACCACUUUCGCGUACAUAUAUGAGGAAUCGUAUUUUUGAAGAAUUAAUCCAAAAUAGUAGGAUUUAUUUUUGUAUUAAUUUUAAAUUUAGUUAGGCAAGCAGGAUAAUAUAAGAUUUUUAUGCUCAUGGUGUGGUUCCUUAAAAGAACCCAAAGUACGUAUAAAGAAAUGUUCAAAUUCUUUAAAAUUGUCUAAAUUAAGUGAACAAUUUAAAAAUAAAGAUUUUCUAAAUUCAAAAGAUAAACAUGAUAUAAAAAUGCAACAAAAAUUUUGCAACCAAUUGAUUUAUUCAUGUGCUCAAUGUCUAAAUAAAUCUGUUUUAUAUUAUGCCAAACCUAAUUUCCAGAAAUAUGCAAAACAAAAUAAAGAACUACAUAAUAUAAAGAGAAAAAAUCAAUCAAUAUUGGAUGAUAAGCUUAAAUUAUCAGAUAGUGUCAAAAAAAUUAACAAUGCUAUAAAUAUUGAUCAUAAUAUCCAGAAUCCCCCUUUGUUUUCUACACCAAAGAAUAUUACUAGAUCUUCAAUGAAAAAACUUCGUAACCUAAAUUUAAGCAAUAAUAAGAAUAAAAAAUCUAAAGCAUUACAAAAAAUAUUAAAAAAUAAUAUAUCAAGCUUUUUUAAUUCUAGUUAUGAUUCAUGUGAUUCACCUUUAUCAAGAUUUUUAAACAUAUCAUAACUUCUUAUUAUAUAAAAAAGAAUA